UAGGGAAUCUUCGGCAAUGGACGAAAGUCUGACCGAGCAACGCCGCGUGAGUGAAGAAGGUUUUCGGAUCGUAAAACUCUGUUGUUAGAGAAGAACAAGGACGUUAGUAACUGAACGUCCCCUGACGGUAUCUAACCAGAAAGCCACGGCUAACUACGUGCCAGCAGCCGCGGUAAUACGUAGGUGGCAAGCGUUGUCCGGAUUUAUUGGGCGUAAAGCGAGCACAGGCGGUUUCUUAAGUCUGAUGUGAAAGCCCCCGGCUCAACCGGGGAGGGUCAUUGGAAACUGGGGGACUUGAGUGCAGAAGAGGAGAGUGGAAUUCCAUGUGUAGCGGUGAAAUGCGUAGAUAUAUGGAGGAACACCAGUGGCGAAGGCGGCUCUCUGGUCUGUAACUGACGCUGAGGCUCGAAAGCGUGGGGAGCAAACAGG
Molecule: ribosomal RNA, 429 nt
Filed under: Chloroflexota bacterium
Lineage: Bacteria; Bacillati; Chloroflexota
Description: Chloroflexi bacterium partial 16S ribosomal RNA
Rfam family: Bacterial small subunit ribosomal RNA
Source: RNAcentral